Molecule: ribosomal RNA, 884 nt
Filed under: uncultured Pseudomonadota bacterium
Lineage: Bacteria; Pseudomonadati; Pseudomonadota
Description: bacterial SSU rRNA
Rfam family: Bacterial small subunit ribosomal RNA
Source: RNAcentral
CAAGUCGAGCGGGAAUAGUCCUUCGGGAUGAUUUCUAGCGGCGGACGGGUGAGUAAAGCAUGAGAAUCUGCCCCUUAGUAGAGAAUACUCCCGAGAAAUCGGGCUUAAUACUGUAUGUUUCUUUCUUAUGGAAAGACAAAGAUGGCCUCUUGCUAUCGCUAAGGGAUGAGCUUAUGUGCUAUCAGCUAGUUGGUGAGGUAAUGGCUCACCAAGGCUAUGACGGCUAGCCGGCCUGAGAGGGUGUACGGCCACACUGGAACUUAGACACGGUCCAGACUCCUACGGGAGGCAGCAGUGGGGAAUAUUGCGCAAUGGGCGAAAGCCUGACGCAGCGACGUCGCGUGAAGGAUGAAGGUCUUCGGAUUGUAAACUUCUGUUAAGUGGGAAGAAAGCUUCACUAAUAAUACGAGUGAGGGAUGACGGUACCAUUAGAGAAAGCACCGGCUAACUUCGUGCCAGCAGCCGCGGUAAGACGAGGGGUGCGAGCGUUAUUCGGAAUUAUUGGGCGUAAAGGGUGUGUAGACGGUGUGUCAAGUCUGUUGUUAAAUCUCCCGGCUUAACCGGGAAUAUGCAGUGGAUACUGGCAUGCUAGAGGGUGGAAGAGAGAAGUGGAAUUCUCGGAGUAGCGGUAAAAUGCGUAGAUCUCGAGAGGAACACCAAUGGCGAAGGCAGCUUCUUGGUCCAUUUCUGACGUUGAAACACGAAAGCGUGGGGAGCAAACAGGAUUAGAUACCCUGGUAGUCCACGCUGUAAACGAUGAUCACUAGACGUCAGUUUCGCUUGCGAAAUUGGUGUCGUAGCUAACGCGUUAAGUGAUCCGCCUGGGGAUUACGGUCGCAAGACUAAAACUCAAAGGAAUUGACGGGGGUCGCACAAGCGGUGGA